GAUGAACGCUGACAGAAUGCUUAACACAUGCAAGUCUUUGGCGAAUCUGUGCUUGCACAGGCUAGCCAAGGCGGACGGGUGGGUAACGCGUAAAGAACUUGCCCUGCAGACAGGGAUAACAGACGGAAACGACUGAUAACACCUGAUACAGUUGCCGGCACGCAUGUGCCUGGCAAUGAAAAGAGAUGCUGCAGGAGAGCUUUGCGUCCUAUUAGCUUGUUGGUGAGGUGACGGCUCACCAAGGCGAUGAUAGGUAGCCGGCCUGAGAGGGUGAACGGCCACAAGGGGACUGAGAUACGGCCCUUACUCCUACGGGAGGCAGCAGUGGGGAAUAUUGGACAAUGGGGGCAACCCUGAUCCAGCAAUUCUGUGUGCACGAAGAAGGUUUUCGGAUUGUAAAGUGCUUUCAGCAGGGAAGAAGAAAGUGACGGUACCUGCAGAAGAAGCGACGGCUAAAUACGUG
This 463-nucleotide ribosomal RNA is filed under the name uncultured bacterium. RNAcentral's name for it is "partial 16S ribosomal RNA". It matches the Rfam family "Bacterial small subunit ribosomal RNA", at positions 28 to 507 of the family's 1533-position model. The record is from RNAcentral.